RNAcentral lists this long non-coding RNA (315 nucleotides) under Bos taurus (domestic cattle). RNAcentral describes it as "long non-coding RNA NONBTAT004774". The record is from RNAcentral. Lineage: Eukaryota; Metazoa; Chordata; Mammalia; Artiodactyla; Bovidae.
AGAGCAUUCUUCAUUACAAGGGUUUGAAAAAGCUUAAGCACUUAAGAAUGAAUGCAUUCCACUGUCUAAGAUGUGUUUCCUAAGACUGGGAAUAAACCAGUGAUAAUUAGUCAUCAAUUGUGCUCUAUGCUCAAUUAGACUUGCCCCAUGGCUUGUCUGUUAGUAGAGUUGAUCGCUAUGUUUACAUGUAAGUCAGGCCCAUGUUGUCCUUGAGUCCAACAGCUGACCCAUGGGACUGCCCCAUAGGAGCAGAGAAAUCUUUUAAUCAGCUUUUUCCCCCACCAUUGAUUCGCCUUCCCAUGGCAGGGACACUAU